GAGCUGCAUGUAGAAGUAAUGGUUGAGUAUGUGAGGCGAAUGAUGAAGAGAAAUCUGAAACUGAAAGGCAAAGAGAAGCAGCUGCUGAGUUCAUCUGCCACGACAGCAAUAAAAUCUGUUCUGUGUUUGCCAAAGUGGGAUCCAGAGAGGAAUGGCUCUGUCAAAUACUGCCCAAAUUAUCAGAGAUUCUGAGAUUACAGGAUAUUGGGAGUUUACAGCUAUAAAGAUAGUUAUUCUGGCAAGAGACUAUCCUGACAUUAGUGAGCAGCAUGUUCUUGCUCUCCUAAACCUGAAGACCAGCCUUUCGAGCUCAGAUGUGUGUAGGAUCGAAGGGUCUUUGAG
This is a long non-coding RNA of Sinocyclocheilus anshuiensis, 342 nucleotides long. RefSeq lists it as uncharacterized. NCBI's taxonomy places the organism in Eukaryota, Metazoa, Chordata, Actinopteri, Cypriniformes, Cyprinidae. The transcript is spliced from 3 exons. The record is from RefSeq and is a predicted model, not a curated record.